CCUACGGGUGGCUGCAGUGGGGAAUAUUGGGCAAUGGGCGCAAGCCUGACCCAGCAACGCCGCGUGAAGGAAGAAGGCUUUCGGGUUGUAAACUUCUUUUAAGGGGGAAGAGCAGAAGACGGUACCCCUUGAAUAAGCCACGGCUAACUAAGUGCCAGCAGCCGCGGUAAUACGGAGGGGGCAAGCGUUGUCCGGAUUUACGGGGUGUAAAGGGCGUGAAGCCGGAGAUACAAGUCAGAUGGGAAAUCCACGGGCUCAACCCGUGAACUGCAUUUGAAACUGUUUCCCUUGAGUGUCGGAGAGGUAAGCGGAAUUCCUUGUGUAGCGGUGAAAUGCGUAGAUAUAAGGAAGAACACCAGUGGCGAAGGCGGAUUGCUGGACAGUAACUGACGCUGAGGCGCGAAAGCGUGGGGAGCAAACAGGAUUAGAUACCCCUGUAGUC
This 442-nucleotide ribosomal RNA is filed under the name uncultured bacterium. RNAcentral's name for it is "partial 16S ribosomal RNA". It matches the Rfam family "Bacterial small subunit ribosomal RNA", at positions 338 to 795 of the family's 1533-position model. The record is from RNAcentral.